Molecule: ribosomal RNA, 442 nt
Filed under: uncultured bacterium
Lineage: Bacteria
Description: partial 16S ribosomal RNA
Rfam family: Bacterial small subunit ribosomal RNA
Source: RNAcentral
CCUACGGGAGACAGCAGUGGGGAAUAUUGGGCAAUGGGCGCAAGCCUGACCCAGCAACGCCGCGUGAGGGAAGAAGGCUUUCGGGUUGUAAACUUCUUUUGACAGGGAAGAGCAGAAGACGGUACCUGUCGAAUAAGCCACGGCUAACUACGUGCCAGCAGCCGGGGUAAAACGUAGGUGGCAAGCGUUGUCCGGAUUUACUGGGGGUAAAGGGCGUGUAGCCGGGCUGACAAGUCAGAAGUGAAAGCCGGGGGCUCAACCCCCGAACUGCAUUUGAAACUGUUGGUCUUGAGUAUCGGAGAGGCAGGCGGAAUUCCUAGUGUAGCGGUGAAAUGCGUAGAUAUCUGGAGGAACAUCAGUGGCGAAGGCGACUAUCUGGCACAUAACUGACGCUGAGGAGCGAAAGCGUGGGUAGCAAACAGGAUUAGAUACCCCAGUAGUC